Molecule: long non-coding RNA, 3044 nt
Filed under: Hordeum vulgare
Lineage: Eukaryota; Viridiplantae; Streptophyta; Magnoliopsida; Poales; Poaceae
Description: long non-coding RNA (HVUL_LNC006991)
Source: RNAcentral
CUCAAGCAUGUUAUAACAAGCACUAAAGUUUCUCUUCAUGAUCCAUUUUUUCAUCCAUUAGUGUGAUUUCCAAGCACACUUGCGUUUUGAAGAUCAAAUGAUAAGUUCAUACUGAAGCACCUACCUACAAAGAGAAACAUAUGCAAGAGUUAGUUAUGUUUUAUGUUUUUUUAUUUUUUUAACUAGAAACAUUAUAAUUGGGUCAACAAAUCCCUAGUAAUUUUAAUCUCAUAAAUAAUGUAAUUAUUAUUUGAUACUCUCUUCAUUUCAUAAUGUAGUUUGGCCACGUCCUUUAAGAUUUAAGUUUGAUCAUAAAUUUAACCAACGUGAACGACUACGGCAGAGCAAAAAUUAUACCAUUGAAUUCGUAUUCGAAAAGGCUUUCAAUGAUAUAUUUUUUGCUUCAUCGCAGUCGUCUAUGUUUAUUAAAUUUAUGAUCAAACUUAAAUCUUAGAAAACACAAACACACUACCUUAUGAAAUUGAGGGGUGUCAAUAAAGAGAGCCAUGAUAGGCUUCCCUAGAAGAAAAAAAAUGCAACAUUAAUCUCAUCCCGCUCCAGUGCAUAUCAUAACAUGGCAUCAUGGAAAUUGAUAUUGGUCAACCUAACAGAAAAGUUUAAGGUAAAAAUAAAUCAUAAUCACCCAUAAAGUGGACAUAUGUCUCGACGGUAUCGUAAGCUUCGUCUCGCCACUCAAGGAAGCACGUAACAUGAUAAAACGACAAAAAUAAGGUAUUAUAGAAAAUGAAUAUGAACUAUGUGGAAAGAGAUGUAUAUAAUUAGUAAAACAUUCUAAAUCUACCAUCGGAUCUUUUCGUUUCAUCCAUUGCUUUCCAUGCAUGACGUGUGUCCCAAUGGAGCACAACAUACAACUAUCUUUAUCCCGUCAACACGUUUCUUACUAGGGUGAUAUUCUUCAAGAAGGACCUGUGUUACAUCAUCCUUUACGGAAAAAAAGUUUCUGCAACAUAGCUCAUGUUGUAAAAGUCCUUCCGCAACAUCAUCUAUGUUAUAAAAGAAUGAAGAUUAAAAAAACCUGCAACACAACCCCUAUUCGCUCGUACGACACGUGUCUCGUGUGGCAUGUGCUCUUGACUCCUCAUGACUUUCCUUAAUUUUUUCUGCAACAACACAAAUGUUGUAGAAUUUUCUCCCAUAACAUAAGCUAUGUUUUAAAAAGUAAAAACAACUUUUUUUUGCAGCAAAACACUGUUUUAAGAAAAAAUCCGAACAAGACCUCAGUUGUAAAGAAUUUUUGUAACAGAGACCGUGUUUCCGAAAGAUAAAUAGUGGUUUACAAAUUUUGCAACAAGUAUCCUCUUGCAGGACUUGUUCUGCAACACCGGUCUUGUUGCAAAAGAGAGGUGAUGCUCGUGGACGUAUAGAUCGGAUGACUAUUUCAGUGUACAUGCAAUGGUUAACGAGGCAACAGCUGUUUUCUCGUUAUUCGUAACAAAAUCUCAGUUGCAAAAACGUUUUACAACACAACCCAUGUUUCCAAAAAAAAAUAGUGGUUCAUCUUUUUUAAACAAGCAUCCUGUUGCAGGACUUGUUCUACAACAUCGAUCUUAUUGCAUAUGGGAGGUGGCGCUCGUAGACAUAGAUCAAAUUAGAUGGCCAUUCCUGUAUACAUCCAAUGGCCAAUGAGACAGCGGAUGUUUUCUCAUUAUCCGUUCGUCGAGGCGUAGCGUGGCCCAUAUAAUUAUUUUACGUUACACAUUACAAACACCUAAAUAUCUCGUGACAAAAAUGGCAUGUCCAAUUGUUCCUCAGCUUGCAGUACAUAAAUAAUAUUUUUUCAGACUCGAUCAACCAAGAUUUAGAAUAGUUUCUUAAUAAAAACCACUUCGCCUUAUUUGACACAUUUAUCUCUCAAGUUAGUUAAUGGGCAUGGGCAUCCAAUAAAUGUAUGAUAAAUGUGCAUACUUCUAUUUUUCAAAGGAUUGUAACACAUACUUAUUUUGCUAUAUAUGGCGACAUACAAACAAUAUUGUGUAUAAUUAAAACAGAAGGUUUUCAAGAGUCAUCAUUUCAGAGCAAUUAAGAACAAAGAUUAAGUAUCAAAAAGUCCUUCAACAAUCACCAGGCCAUUGCACCUUUUCAAAAUGUUUAUCCACACCUUGAUAUUUUUGCAGUCCUUUGUUCUUCGGGUCAAUAGUAUGAGAAACUGCAUCCGGUGGUAGUUAUGAAAAAAAAUUUAGAUUAAGAUUGCAAAGAUAGCCUUGUCACGCAAGCAUAAAAUCUAAUUUCAAGAACGGACAUCAAAUUUUCAUGCAUAUUUCAUGAUUUUUCACACAAAAAGAGUCUUGUCACACAAGUAUGAGAUGAGGGUGUUAUUUUGGCAUGUCGAUAUUUUCAUAUACAUCUCAUAUUUGUGUGCACUAGCGGAGUUUGCAUGAAAAAGCUAUAGGCGGACUAGAUGGUCCAGCCUAUAAAGAUUUUCUACUACAUGGUCCAGCCUAUAAAGAUUUUCUACUAACUGAUAUUCUAUGACCCAUGUGCUGCUAUAAAUAUGAACAGAAACUCCAGAGCUGAGCGUGCCAUAGACCAUUCAACCUUGCCUAAACUCCGUCGGUGCUUCUAUGCCAAAGUUUUUUUUUGUGUCGGCAUUUCAAUAUGCAACUAUUAUGGUCAAAACCUCACCAAAUGACAUGAAACUUCAUGUUUUUUUUGGUGUGUGAAAUGCAUUAGAAAAUGUCUGUAAUUGCCGUUGCGAAGAAACUGUAUGGCCGGUCCUUUGAACCUGACAGCUAUAUAUGUACACUCUAGUUCAGCGGUUAGCAAAUCAUGAAAAUGGGAUCGCUGCCUUGGCAAGUCAUUCACAUGUGGUUGCGGUGGUUAGCUGCCCGUUGAGGUGGAAUAUGGGCAUGCUGUUUUUAGGAAAAAGAUUGCAAUAUUAGUUUACAGGACACAUCGACUUUCGUAAAGCAUCUUCAAUAGAUGGUUUUAAUAUAAAAGUAACUAACUUUUGAACCGUUUGAGACCAAAAACGCAGCUUUAACAGACGGUUCAUAUGUAAAAAAAAUUGGACCGCGACCUCCUCG